AAAUUGAAGAGUUUGAUCAUGGCUCAGAUUGAACGCUGGCGGCAGGCCUAACACAUGCAAGUCGAACGGUAACAGGAAGCAGCUUGCUGCUUCGCUGACGAGUGGCGGACGGGUGAGUAAUGUCUGGGAAACUGCCUGAUGGAGGGGGAUAACUACUGGAAACGGUGGCUAAUACCGCAUAACGUCGCAAGACCAAAGAGGGGGACCUUCGGGCCUCUUGCCAUCAGAUGUGCCCAGAUGGGAUUAGCUUGUUGGUGAGGUAACGGCUCACCAAGGCGACGAUCCCUAGCUGGUCUGAGAGGAUGACCAGCCACACUGGAACUGAGACACGGUCCAGACUCCUACGGGAGGCAGCAGUGGGGAAUAUUGCACAAUGGGCGCAAGCCUGAUGCAGCCAUGCCGCGUGUAUGAAGAAGGCCUUCGGGUUGUAAAGUACUUUCAGCGGGGAGGAAGGUGUUGUGGUUAAUAACCACAGCAAUUGACGUUACUCGCAGAAGAAGCACCGGCUAACUCCGUGCCAGCAGCCGCGGUAAUACGGAGGGUGCAAGCGUUAAUCGGAAUUACUGGGCGUAAAGCGCACGCAGGCGGUCUGUCAAGUCGGAUGUGAAAUCCCCGGGCUCAACCUGGGAACUGCAUUCGAAACUGGCAGGCUUGAGUCUUGUAGAGGGGGGUAGAAUUCCAGGUGUAGCGGUGAAAUGCGUAGAGAUCUGGAGGAAUACCGGUGGCGAAGGCGGCCCCCUGGACAAAGACUGACGCUCAGGUGCGAAAGCGUGGGGAGCAAACAGGAUUAGAUACCCUGGUAGUCCACGCCGUAAACGAUGUCUACUUGGAGGUUGUGCCCUUGAGGCGUGGCUUCCGGAGCUAACGCGUUAAGUAGACCGCCUGGGGAGUACGGCCGCAAGGUUAAAACUCAAAUGAAUUGACGGGGGCCCGCACAAGCGGUGGAGCAUGUGGUUUAAUUCGAUGCAACGCGAAGAACCUUACCUGGUCUUGACAUCCACAGAACUUUCCAGAGAUGGACUGGUGCCUUCGGGAACUGUGAGACAGGUGCUGCAUGGCUGUCGUCAGCUCGUGUUGUGAAAUGUUGGGUUAAGUCCCGCAACGAGCGCAACCCUUAUCCUUUGUUGCCAGCGGUUAGGCCGGGAACUCAAAGGAGACUGCCAGUGAUAAACUGGAGGAAGGUGGGGAUGACGUCAAGUCAUCAUGGCCCUUACGACCAGGGCUACACACGUGCUACAAUGGCGCAUACAAAGAGAAGCGACCUCGCGAGAGCAAGCGGACCUCAUAAAGUGCGUCGUAGUCCGGAUUGGAGUCUGCAACUCGACUCCAUGAAGUCGGAAUCGCUAGUAAUCGUGGAUCAGAAUGCCACGGUGAAUACGUUCCCGGGCCUUGUACACACCGCCCGUCACACCAUGGGAGUGGGUUGCAAAAGAAGUAGGUAGCUUAACCUUCGGGAGGGCGCUUACCACUUUGUGAUUCAUGACUGGGGUGAAGUCGUAACAAGGUAACCGUAGGGGAACCUGCGGUUGGAUCACCUCCUUA
RNAcentral lists this ribosomal RNA (1542 nucleotides) under Salmonella enterica. RNAcentral describes it as "16S ribosomal RNA". It matches the Rfam family "Bacterial small subunit ribosomal RNA". RNAcentral also lists the same sequence under 1 other name. Lineage: Bacteria; Pseudomonadati; Pseudomonadota; Gammaproteobacteria; Enterobacterales; Enterobacteriaceae. The record is from RNAcentral.